RNAcentral lists this ribosomal RNA (478 nucleotides) under uncultured bacterium. RNAcentral describes it as "partial 16S ribosomal RNA". It matches the Rfam family "Bacterial small subunit ribosomal RNA", at positions 28 to 507 of the family's 1533-position model. The record is from RNAcentral.
GAUGAACGCUGGCGGCGUGCUUAACACAUGCAAGUCGAACGAGAAAUGGAGACGGAAACCUUCGGGCGGAAGGCUUCAUUUCGAGUGGCGGACGGGUGAGUAACGCGUGGGUAACCUGCCUCAUACAGGGGGAUAACAGUUGGAAACGACUGUUAAUACCGCAUAAGACCACAGCACCGCAUGGUGCGGGGGUAAAAACUCCGGUGGUAUGAGAUGGACCCGCGUUCGAUUAGCCAGUUGGCGGGGUAACGGCCCACCAAAGCGACGAUCGAUAGCCGAUCUGAGAGGGUGACCGGCCACAUUGGGACUGAGACACGGCCCAAACUCCUACGGGAGGCAGCAGUGGGGAAUAUUGCACAAUGGGGGAAACCCUGAUGCAGCGACGCCGCGUGAGUGAAGAAGUACUUCGGUAUGUAAAGCUCUAUCAGCAGGGAAGAAAAUGACGGUACCUGAGUAAGAAGCCCCGGCUAACUACGUG